AUGUCACCUGAUGGAUUACUAGAGACAGAAGUUGCUCCAGACUCUGAACUUUCAACCAAACCUCAAUUUAUGUUCUCCACCUGUAUGGUUCCACCUCGACCCACUACUGCAGACCUUGAAGCAGAGCUGAUCACGGCAGUAGCCCCCACAAUCAAGGAAGAACCAGAGGAUUUCGAUAAUGGAACAGAUCCACCAUUGUUUGAAAGUUUUUUUCCUGAUGACUCUGACCCUGAGGAACCUCCUGGUGAUGUGAUCACAAAUCCACACAUCACAGCAGAUAUCACUGAUUCUACAGCGUCUGAUCCAGAUGACCACUCAGUGAUUGAGAUCAGCACUAUUCAACCUGAUGUACCAAUGCCAGGUGCUUCUCUAAGCACAAAGACCAUGUUUGCUAUAGGUAAUACAGAAAAGACCAUUCCGGAUUCUAAGAUUGCCACAUCAGUUAUCCACGAUCUCACAAAUACUCUUACAGAAUUCAGUGAAUCAAUACCUACGGAAAAGUUGGGCAUCUCAGAAACAACACUGUCAACUGCAACUCCUAGUUUUGAAUCAACAACACCAUUCCUAGAUUAUGAGGGGAUUGGGAAUAAUGUGAAAGUUGAGGGUUUACCACCAACCCAGAAAGAAGAUAUUUCAUCCAGUAGAUCAGACAGCAACGGUAUUAGUACUACUGUGGAAACAACAACAUCUCCUUCCACCAGCACAAUCUUUACACUUGUAACAAAGACAAGAACCACAGAAACAACAGAAUCCACUGACACUAGAAAACAAACUACACCUAAAACACAGGGUGCCAUCUCUCUUGCCAAAUCUAUAACUCCUGGAGCUGAUGGCAGUAAGGCUGACAGAACUGCAGCUCAACGUGCAACAUCACCAGAACUUACCGAUGAUUCCCUGAUUGGGGGCGAUGCAGCAGCAAAUACUGAGUCAAAGUCAUCGAUGUCCACUUCUUCGGCAUCAGCUGUCCCCGACAUUCGCACUUCUCCAGCUGCAGUGGUCACUGAGGGGCAGCCCCGGCAAACAAGUCCCAUCAUCCAGAGCCAGAAUGCUUCAGCUGAACAGACUUCAACAACACAAGUAUCUCAAUCCUCUACAGUGCCAUUUGUGUCUGACCUUCCCAUCCCCUCCAUAGCUGAUGGACAGCCUGUCAUGUUAAAUGGAGACUUACACCACAUUGUUCAAGCUCUUGUGACCAUGAUUCCAGAGACCAGAUUUUCACAUGAACAAGAAAAAAGCACCAAAGAGACACAUGCAUCUACAGUGGCAUCUACAAAGGUCCCAGAUGACGUUCACUAUAUUUUUUCUGAUUCAACAAAUUCUUUUGAAGACGACAAACUGAUCACAAAGGGUCCUAUGCAGAACAACUCUACCUCAAUGAUGUUAUCUACAGAGGUGAAAAAAGCCUCAUCAACAGCGAUACAAAAAACUGACUCAGUUGUUUUAAAAGGCACUGACUCUGCUCUAAAGUUAACGCUAGCUGAACAACUAAGCCCUACAACAACAACAACACACAAAAUACAAAGUGCUUCAGUCUCACCUACAGACCAAGUUACUACUGAUAAAAUACCUUCAUCUAAGGAGGAUGAUUCAGAAGUCAAAACAGCAACAUUGGCAACAACAAGCCUAUUGUUAAAUACCUCUGGACAGACAGUAAAAAUAUUUUCAACAAUAAGCCCCAAACAUAUAUCUGAUCAAGAUUCAAUGAAAAGUGAAACCACAGCAACAAUAUCACUAGCAGGAACAAAUAAAUCAUCAGAUCUUCAGAAUGGUGGCACAAAAACAGAUAACUUCACCACAAAAACACAAGAGAGGAAACAAUCUGAAACAACAAAUCUAAAUUCUUUCUAUAAAGCUUUUGAAGUGAUUAAAACUACAAUGGCACCUAUAACUCAGUUUUUUAGUGAACAUUCGUCUCAGAGUCAAUCGAUAACAGGUGAAUUACCUGUUAAACCAGUGACUACAAGUGAAGAAUCUACAACAGAUGAAACUAUAUCAGCCCAAAAACUUGUCUCAACUUUAUCUGCUGAAAGUGACUUAGGAUCACUGCCUAUAAAAACAAAACCAGAAAUUUUUGGACACAGUGUAACCAAUUCUGCGAAUUUGUCAGUUAUUACACCAACUACAACACUUCCUAGGGAUUUUACUCUAUUGUCCUCUCUCACUUUAUCAAACAUUGCUAAAUCGGGUGAGAAUUUCAAAACUGUUACUAAAGCUUCACCACUAGAAAAUCAACACAGCUUGGCUGAUCAGACAAUAGAGACAUCUACCAACAACAGAGCAUUUUCUACAGCUUCGACAUUGUUCAUCGCUGAAAAGAGAACAGCAGCACCAAUUGAGAAGGAUUACGACCUUGUUACUCAUCAGACAGCAAUGUCUUCACUAUCUCCUUUAAUAAGCAUUGAAGGCAAAUCUACCAUAACCCUUGCAGAACAAAAAAGCUCUGGAAGUGAAACUCCAAGCACAAUGAGCUCAACCACGUCAGUCAGUGAUGCAUCUUCAUUUCCACAUGCAAGCUCUUUGGCAGAAGUAACAUCCUCUUCAAAAACAUCAUCAAAAACUGAUGAAACAA
RNAcentral lists this long non-coding RNA (2569 nucleotides) under Nothobranchius furzeri (turquoise killifish). RNAcentral describes it as "lncRNA (ENSNFUG00015014054.1)". Lineage: Eukaryota; Metazoa; Chordata; Actinopteri; Cyprinodontiformes; Nothobranchiidae. The record is from RNAcentral.